This 515-nucleotide ribosomal RNA is filed under the name uncultured bacterium. Its description in RNAcentral is "partial 16S ribosomal RNA". It matches the Rfam family "Bacterial small subunit ribosomal RNA", at positions 28 to 523 of the family's 1533-position model. The record is from RNAcentral.
GAUGAACGCUGGCGGCGUGCCUAAUACAUGCAAGUCGAGCGAAUGGAUUAAGAGCUUGCUCUUAUGAGGUUAGCGGCGGACGGGUGAGUAACACGUGGGUAACCUGCCCAUAAGACUGGGAUAACUCCGGGAAACCGGGGCUAAUACCGGAUAACAUUUUGAACCGCAUGGUUCGAAAUUGAAAGGCGGCUUCGGCUGUCACUUAUGGAUGGACCCGCGUCGCAUUAGCUAGUUGGUGAGGUAACGGCUCACCCAGGCAACGAUGCGUAGCCGACCUGGGAGGUUGAGUGGCGAGACUGGGAGUGAGAACCGGCCCAGACUCCAACGGGAGGCAGCAGUAGGGAGUCUACCACAAUGGACGAAAGUCUGACGGGGCAACGCCGCGUGAGUGAUAAAGGCUUUCGGGUCGUAAAACUCUGUUGUUAGGGAAGAACAAGUGCUAGUUGAAUAAGCUGGCACCUUGACGGUACCUAACCAGAAAGCCACGGCUAACUACGUGCCAGCAGCCGCAGUAA